RNAcentral lists this ribosomal RNA (455 nucleotides) under uncultured bacterium. Its description in RNAcentral is "bacterial SSU rRNA". It matches the Rfam family "Bacterial small subunit ribosomal RNA", at positions 29 to 524 of the family's 1533-position model. The record is from RNAcentral.
AACGAACGCUGGCGGCAGGCUUAACACAUGCAAGUCGAACGCUCGUAGCAAUACGGGAGUGGCGGACGGGUGAGUAACGCGUGGGAACGUGCCCUGAGGUACGGAAUAACUGAGGGAAACUUCAGCUAAUACCGUAUGGGCCCCGAGAGGGGGAAAGAUUUAUCGCCUUGGGAGCGGCCCGCGUCGGAUUAGCUAGUUGGUGGGGUAACGGCCUACCAAGGCUUCGAUCCGUAGCUGGUCUGAGAGGACGAUCAGCCACACUGGGACUGAGACACGGCCCAGACUCCUACGGGAGGCAGCAGUGGGGAAUCUUGCGCAAUGGGGGGCAACCCUGACGCAGCCAUGCCGCGUGAACGAUGAAGGCCUUAGGGUUGUAAAGUUCUUUUACCCGUGACGAUGAUGACGGUAACGGGGGAAUAAGCUCCGGCUAACUUCGUGCCAGCAGCCGCGGUAAU